AGUGAACGCUGGCGGUAGGCCUAACACAUGCAAGUCGAACGGCAGCACAGUAAGAGCUUGCUCUUACGGGUGGCGAGUGGCGGACGGGUGAGGAAUACAUCGGAAUCUACUUUUUCGGGGGGGAUAACGUAGGGAAACUUACGCUACUACCGCAUACGACCUACGGGUGAAAGCAGGGGAUCUUCGGACCUUGCGCGAUUGAAUGAGCCGAUGUCGGAUUAGCUAGUUGGCGGGGUAAAGGCCCACCAAGGCGACGAUCCGUAGCUGGUCUGAGAGGAUGAUCCGCCACACUGGAACUGAGACACGGUCCCGACUCCUAAGGGAGGCAGCAGUGGGGAAUAUUGGACAAUGGGCGCAAGCCUGAUCCAGCCAUACCGCGUGGGUGAAGAAGGCCUUCGGGUUGUAAAGCCCUUUUGUUGGGAAAGAAAAGCAGCAGGUUAAUACCCCGCUGUUCUGACGGUACCCAAAGAAUAAGCACCGGCUAACUUCGUG
RNAcentral lists this ribosomal RNA (492 nucleotides) under uncultured bacterium. Its description in RNAcentral is "partial 16S ribosomal RNA". It matches the Rfam family "Bacterial small subunit ribosomal RNA", at positions 29 to 507 of the family's 1533-position model. The record is from RNAcentral.